AUUGAACGCUGGCGGCAGGCCUAACACAUGCAAGUCGAACGGUAACAGGAAACAGCUUGCUGUUUCGCUGACGAGUGGCGGACGGGUGAGUAAUGUCUGGGAAACUGCCUGAUGGAGGGGGAUAACUACUGGAAACGGUAGCUAAUACCGCAUAACGUCGCAAGACCAAAGAGGGGGACCCUCGGGCCUCUUGCCAUCGGAUGUGCCCAGAUGGGAUUAGCUUGUUGGUGGGGUAACGGCUCACCAAGGCGACGAUCCCUAGCUGGUCUGAGAGGAUGACCAGCCACACUGGAACUGAGACACGGUCCAGACUCCUACGGGAGCAGCAGUGGGGAAUAUUGCACAAUGGGCGCAAGCCUGAUGCAGCCAUGCCGCGUGUAUGAAGAAGGCCUUCGGGUUGUAAAGUACUUUUCAGUCGGGGAGGAAGGGAGUAAAGUUAAUACCUUUGCUCAUUGACGUUACCCGCAGAAGAAGCACCGGCUAACUCCGUGCCA
RNAcentral lists this ribosomal RNA (494 nucleotides) under uncultured bacterium. RNAcentral describes it as "bacterial SSU rRNA". It matches the Rfam family "Bacterial small subunit ribosomal RNA", at positions 30 to 510 of the family's 1533-position model. The record is from RNAcentral.